This 82-nucleotide transfer RNA is filed under the name Candidatus Omnitrophota bacterium. RNAcentral describes it as "tRNA-Leu". It matches the Rfam family "tRNA". From Rfam's summary of the family: Transfer RNA (tRNA) molecules are approximately 80 nucleotides in length. Their secondary structure includes four short double-helical elements and three loops (D, anti-codon, and T loops). RNAcentral also lists the same sequence under 1 other name. Lineage: Bacteria; Pseudomonadati; Candidatus Omnitrophota. The record is from RNAcentral.
GCGGAUGUGGCGAAAUUGGCAGACGCGCUAGCCUUAGGAGCUAGUGAGGAAACUCAUGGGGGUUCAAGUCCCUCCAUCCGCA